UACGAAGGGGGCUAGCGUUGCUCGGAUUUACUGGGCGUAAAGGGCGCGUAGGCGGUUCGUACAGUCAGACGUGAAAUUCCUGGGCUCAACCUGGGGGCUGCGCUUGAUACGUGCGGACUUGAGUGCGGAAGAGGGUCGUGGAAUUCCCAGUGUAGAGGUGAAAUUCGUAGAUAUUGGGAAGAACGCCGGUGGCGAAGGCGGCGACCUGGUCCGAUACUGACGCUGAGGCGCGAAAGCGUGGGGAGCAAACAGG
RNAcentral lists this ribosomal RNA (253 nucleotides) under uncultured bacterium. Its description in RNAcentral is "partial 16S ribosomal RNA". It matches the Rfam family "Bacterial small subunit ribosomal RNA", at positions 524 to 776 of the family's 1533-position model. The record is from RNAcentral.